AUGGCGACCGGCGCACGGGUGAGUAACGCGUAUCCAACCUGCCCUUUACUAUGGGACAGCCCGUCGAAAGGCGGAUUAAUACCGUAUGUUGUCAUGUUGAUGCAUUAUUUUCAUGAACCAAAGGCUUCGGACCGGUAAAGGAGUGGGGAUGCGUCUGAUUAGCUUGCCGGGCGGGGUAACGGCCACCGGGGCGACGAUCAGUAGGGGUUCUGAGGGGAAGGUCCCCCACAUUGGAACUGAGACACGGUCCAAACUCCUACGGAAGGCAGCAG
Molecule: ribosomal RNA, 272 nt
Filed under: uncultured bacterium
Lineage: Bacteria
Description: partial 16S ribosomal RNA
Rfam family: Bacterial small subunit ribosomal RNA
Source: RNAcentral